GACGAACGCUGGCGGCGUGCUUAACACAUGCAAGUCGAACGGAAAGGCCCUGCUUUUGUGGGGUGCUCGAGUGGCGAAAGGGUGAGUAACAAGUGAGUAACCUGCCCUUGACUUUGGGAUAACUUCAGGAAACUGGGGCUAAUACCGGAUAGGAGCUCCUGCUGCAUGGGGGGGGUUGGAAAGUUUCGGCGGUUGGGGAUGGACUCGCGGCUUAUCAGCUUGUUGGUGGGGUAGUGGCUUACCAAGGCUUUGACGGGUAGCCGGCCUGAGAGGGUGACCGGCCCCGUUGGGACUGAGGUGCGGCCCAGCCUCCUGCGGGAGUCAGCAGUGGGGAAUAUUGCACUAUGGGCGGAAGCCUGAUGCAGCAACGCCGCGUGCGUGAUGACGGCCUUCGGGUUGUAAACCGCUUUCGCCUGUGACGAAGCGUGAGUGCCGGUGAUGGGUAAAGAAGCACCGGCUAACUACGUG
Molecule: ribosomal RNA, 468 nt
Filed under: uncultured bacterium
Lineage: Bacteria
Description: partial 16S ribosomal RNA
Rfam family: Bacterial small subunit ribosomal RNA
Source: RNAcentral